UGGAGAACACCCUUAUGUUGAACACCCUUCUCGAACUCUUUUUGUGAAAAAUAUAAAUAGCGAUGUUGAAGAUUCUGAGUUAAGAGCCUUAUUUGAGCAAUAUGGAGAUAUCCAUACUCUUUAUACAUCAUGCAAGCAUCGUGGUUUUGUUAUGAUCUCCUAUUAUGAUAUUAGAGCUGCAAGCAAUGCGAUGACAGCACUCCAGGAUUCACCACUGAGGCAUCGGAAACUUGACAUUCAUUACUCAAUCCCAAAGGAC
Molecule: unclassified non-coding RNA, 259 nt
Filed under: Hevea brasiliensis (rubber tree)
Lineage: Eukaryota; Viridiplantae; Streptophyta; Magnoliopsida; Malpighiales; Euphorbiaceae
Source: RNAcentral